AGGGGAGUGAAAAAGAACCUGAAACCGUGUACGUACAAGCAGUGGGAGCCUCUUAAUGGGGUGACUGCGUACCUUUUGUAUAAUGGGUCAGCGACUUAUAUUCUGUAGCAAGGUUAACCGAAUAGGGGAGCCGAAGGGAAACCGAGUCUUAACUGGGCGUUAAGUUGCAGGGUAUAGACCCGAAACCCGGUGAUCUAGCCAUGGGCAGGUUGAAGGUUGGGUAACACUAACUGGAGGACCGAACCGACUAAUGUUGAAAAAUUAGCGGAUGACUUGUGGCUGGGGGUGAAAGGCCAAUCAAACCGGGAGAUAGCUGGUUCUCCCCGAAAGCUAUUUAGGUAGCGCCUCGUGAAUUCAUCUCCGGGGGUAGAGCACUGUUUCGGCAAGGGGGUCAUCCCGACUUACCAACCCGAUGCAAACUGCGAAUACCGGAGAAUGUUAUCACGGGAGACACACGGCGGGUGCUAACGUCCGUCGUGAAGAGGGAAACAACCCAGACCGCCAGCUAAGGUCCCAAAGUCAUGGUUAAGUGGGAAACGAUGUGGGAAGGCCCAGACAGCCAGGAUGUUGGCUUAGAAGCAGCCAUCAUUUAAAGAAAGCGUAAUAGCUCACUGGUCGAGUCGGCCUGCGCGGAAGAUGUAACGGGGCUAAACCAUGCACCGAAGCUGCGGCAGCGACACUAUGUGUUGUUGGGUAGGGGAGCGUUCUGUAAGCCUGUGAAGGUGGCCUGUGAGGGUUGCUGGAGGUAUCAGAAGUGCGAAUGCUGACAUAAGUAACGAUAAAGCGGGUGAAAAGCCCGCUCGCCGGAAGACCAAGGGUUCCUGUCCAACGUUAAUCGGGGCAGGGUGAGUCGACCCCUAAGGCGAGGCCGAAAGGCGUAGUCGAUGGGAAACAGGUUAAUAUUCCUGUACUUGGUGUUACUGCGAAGGGGGGACGGAGAAGGCUAUGUUGGCCGGGCGACGGUUGUCCCGGUUUAAGCGUGUAGGCUGGUUUUCCAGGCAAAUCCGGAAAACCAAGGCUGAGGCGUGAUGACGAGGCACUACGGUGCUGAAGCGACAAAUGCCCUGCUUCCAGGAAAAGCCUCUAAGCAUCAGGUAACAUCAAAUCGUACCCCAAACCGACACAGGUGGUCAGGUAGAGAAUACCAAGGCGCUUGAGAGAACUCGGGUGAAGGAACUAGGCAAAAUGGUGCCGUAACUUCGGGAGAAGGCACGCUGAUAUGUAGGUGAAGCGACUUGCUCGUGGAGCUGAAAUCAGUCGAAGAUACCAGCUGGCUGCAACUGUUUAUUAAAAACACAGCACUGUGCAAACACGAAAGUGGACGUAUACGGUGUGACGCCUGCCCGGUGCCGGAAGGUUAAUUGAUGGGGUUAGCGGCAACGCGAAGCUCUUGAUCGAAGCCCCGGUAAACGGCGGCCGUAACUAUAACGGUCCUAAGGUAGCGAAAUUCCUUGUCGGGUAAGUUCCGACCUGCACGAAUGGCGUAAUGAUGGCCAGGCUGUCUCCACCCGAGACUCAGUGAAAUUGAACUCGCUGUGAAGAUGCAGUGUACCCGCGGCAAGACGGAAAGACCCCGUGAACCUUUACUAUAGCUUGACACUGAACAUUGAGCCUUGAUGUGUAGGAUAGGUGGGAGGCUUUGAAGUGUGGACGCCAGUCUGCAUGGAGCCGACCUUGAAAUACCACCCUUUAAUGUUUGAUGUUCUAACGUUGGCCCGUAAUCCGGGUUGCGGACAGUGUCUGGUGGGUAGUUUGACUGGGGCGGUCUCCUCCUAAAGAGUAACGGAGGAGCACGAAGGUUGGCUAAUCCUGGUCGGACAUCAGGAGGUUAGUGCAAUGGCAUAAGCCAGCUUGACUGCGAGCGUGACGGCGCGAGCAGGUGCGAAAGCAGGUCAUAGUGAUCCGGUGGUUCUGAAUGGAAGGGCCAUCGCUCAACGGAUAAAAGGUACUCCGGGGAUAACAGGCUGAUACCGCCCAAGAGUUCAUAUCGACGGCGGUGUUUGGCACCUCGAUGUCGGCUCAUCACAUCCUGGGGCUGAAGUAGGUCCCAAGGGUAUGGCUGUUCGCCAUUUAAAGUGGUACGCGAGCUGGGUUUAGAACGUCGUGAGACAGUUCGGUCCCUAUCUGCCGUGGGCGCUGGAGAACUGAGGGGGGCUGCUCCUAGUACGAGAGGACCGGAGUGGACGCAUCACUGGUGUUCGGGUUGUCAUGCCAAUGGCACUGCCCGGUAGCUAAAUGCGGAAGAGAUAAGUGCUGAAAGCAUCUAAGCACGAAACUUGCCCCGAGAUGAGUUCUCCCUGACUCCUUGAGAGUCCUGAAGGAACGUUGAAGACGACGACGUUGAUAGGCCGGGUGUGUAAGCGCAGCGAUGCGUUGAGCUAACCGGUACUAAUGAACCGUGAGGCUUAACCUUACAACGCCGAAG
Molecule: ribosomal RNA, 2425 nt
Filed under: Escherichia coli
Lineage: Bacteria; Pseudomonadati; Pseudomonadota; Gammaproteobacteria; Enterobacterales; Enterobacteriaceae
Description: partial 23S ribosomal RNA
Rfam family: Bacterial large subunit ribosomal RNA
Source: RNAcentral